CACUGUGUUAUGUUGGUUUGUGUGCUGAUGGAUGGUGCUGCGGGUUUGUGCGUGUUCCUUGUGUCGGUCCGGGUGUGUAUGAGAUUUGGAAGUAUAGUUUUUUUACACUUGCGCUGAAUGCGAUCUCAGUAUUUCUGGUUUUACGUGUAUGAAAGGUACAACGUAAAGGUGCAUAAUGAACCGAAGGAACAGAAACAAAUCACGCUCUGAUCGUGGUAAACCAACAUUUAAGGCCACAGCCAAAGCUAAGGCAUUCUCGCCUAGGAAAACCAGAUUAUCAAAGAAUGACAAAAAAAAACUUGUUGAGGCUGUUAAAGCAGAAGUUGCAGAAAGCUCAAAGUCAAAGCCUAAGGAAAAGAAACGGGGGAAUGCAACUACUCAGAAUACAAUGAAUUUGAGGUUAACAGAACAUGGAGCUGGAAUAACGGAGUAUAUCAGCAAACACGAAGGUUUUAGUGCAAUUAUCAAACAACGGUACUCAGAUUUUCAUGUUAAUGAAAUUGAUUGUGAUGGAAAUGUUGUGACAUUGACUACCUUAGAGGCACCAGAGGCUCCAGGUAAACUUUUCUGUUCUUGAUUUUGCCGUAGUUUCUUGAAGUGCAUGCAGUUUAUAGUUGCAUAUGUAUAAGCAUGUGCUGCCCUGGCAGAUGCGAAGUCAGUGUAUUCCUUAAUUAAUUUUAGGAGUAUAGUCUUGUAAAAUUAUAGAUCGUUCUUUUUUAUUGCACAGUGAAAUUUUGAAAGCAGCAGGUAAGAAAUGUUCUUAAUUUUCUUUAACUAAUAUCUCUCUCUCUCUCUCUCUCUCUCUCUCUCUCUCUCUCUCUCUCUCUCUGUCUGUGUGUGUGUGUGUGUGUGUGUGUGUGUGUGUGUGUGUGUGUGUUGCUAUUUAUUUUUUUGGAAUGCUUUUAUAGCUACUGUAAUUUAGUUUUUGGCUCAGAUCUCUUUCCUUUUUGUGUUUUGGGUGUAGUCUUUAGUGUGAAGAUUGUAUUUUUGGGGGUUUUCCUUGUUUCUGAUCUCAUUGCUCUUCUUGCCAUCUUGUUCAUAGCUACUUAUUUGGUUUGUUCCAAUGUGGUAGAAAUGUACUGAAAGUACAGCAGAUAUGAGCAUGUUUUUGUUGUCUAUGAAUACUUUAUUAUAUUCACUUGUUGCAAGCAAAGAUAAAGUUGUUAAAAUUAUCUAUGAUACAAAUUCAGCACUAUAAUUGUAAUUAUGCAGUUUUUUUCUUCAGCAAAUGUGUCAUUGAGUGUUCUGUGUGAGAAACAACUAAUGAUAUUAUGUUCAGAUAUUUUAUUGAAUAAGGACAGUAAUAUUUACCUUAACACAUUGUGAAUUAUAUCCAUAUAAACUGUAAGGGAUGAAAAUUGUAAUUUGUUAAUUGAAUUUGUUGAUCAAAGCUAUUACAAAUAAAGAAUAUUUUAUAACCAA
Molecule: long non-coding RNA, 1422 nt
Organism: Schistocerca gregaria
Lineage: Eukaryota; Metazoa; Arthropoda; Insecta; Orthoptera; Acrididae
Exons: 2
Source: RefSeq, a predicted model, not a curated record